This 359-nucleotide ribosomal RNA is filed under the name uncultured bacterium. Its description in RNAcentral is "bacterial SSU rRNA". It matches the Rfam family "Bacterial small subunit ribosomal RNA", at positions 917 to 1271 of the family's 1533-position model. The record is from RNAcentral.
GGGCCCGCACAAGCGGUGGAGCAUGUGGUUUAAUUCGAUGCAACGCGAAGAACCUUACCUACUCUUGACAUACAGUGAAUCUGGCAGAGAUGGCCGGGGUGCCGCAAGGAACACUGAUACAGGUGCUGCAUGGCUGUCGUCAGCUCGUGUCGUGAGAUGUUGGGUUAAGUCCCGUAACGAGCGCAACCCUUAUUGUUAGUUGACCAGCACGUAAAGGUGGGGACUCUAAGUGAGACUGCCGGUGACAAACCGGAGGAAGGCGGGGGACGACGUCAAGUCAUCAUGGCCCUUACGUCCUGGGCCACACACGUGCUACAAUGGUAGGUCACAGAGGGAAGCCACCCCGCGAGGGGAGCGGA